This 309-nucleotide ribosomal RNA is filed under the name uncultured Glomeromycotina. Its description in RNAcentral is "LSU rRNA". The record is from RNAcentral. Lineage: Eukaryota; Fungi; Glomeromycota.
UUGAAAGGGAAACGAUUGAAGUCAGUCAUGCCGGCGGGAAUCAACUUAGGGGAAACUCUGAGUGCACUUCUUCGCUUGGCAGGUUAGCGUCGAUUUUGGAUGUCAUAAAAUGACUGGGGGAAGGUAGCUCUUUCGGGAGUGUUAAGCCCUUAGUAGAUGUGAUGUCCGGGAUCGAGGAUUGCAACGGAUACCUUUUGGGCUAACCGCCUAGUCUCUAAUAUGAAGUUGGGUUAUGGACAGCACGCUGCCUUGAUCUGAUUUUCGAUUAAAAGAUUAGAGCGAGUGUCAUGCGUUAAGGAUGUUGACGUA